This is a long non-coding RNA of Vicia villosa (hairy vetch), 970 nucleotides long. RefSeq lists it as uncharacterized. Lineage: Eukaryota; Viridiplantae; Streptophyta; Magnoliopsida; Fabales; Fabaceae. The transcript has 2 exons. The record is from RefSeq and is a predicted model, not a curated record.
UUUAUGCUCUAUUCUUUCUCUUCCAAUGUUUUAUUUACAAGAAUUUGAUCUACAACUCCCUGUGAUAUUAAGUACUUGUAGGAUUGAUUUUAGCUGUUUUUCUGAUUUUGAAUUGAAAUACAAAUAUUUUUAUGUUGUGUUGAUUUUUAGUUUGUUCUUAAAGACUGAUUUUCUUAUUCAUAUAGACACAUUCACUAACAUGUGAUUACUUUUCCUUUUUAUUACAAGUUUUGAAGAUUUCAGGCGGUAGAAACUUGUAAGAGGAUGGCAUGUGAUUAUUUUGACAAGAUUCAAGAAAUCACAAUUAUACCAACUAUGAUUUCCUUGAUUAAACAUAUAAGUGUCAAGCUAUUGGAAAGAAUUCAUGUGUGACAGUAUUGUAUAAAGCACUUAAUCUCCUACUACUAAGCAAGACAAGUGGAAAAGCACUAAAGGAUAGAGAUAUCCAUCUAUUGACAUCUUCUGAGCUACCAUUCUACGCAUUUAAUAAGGAGACAAUGAAUUAUAAGCCAUGUGUACUUAAGGAGUUAUGUUCAAGUAUAAAAAAGGGUGAGAAUCAUGCAUGUGAAAUAUGUUUUCAAGAAAAAGAUGUCGUGGAAGUGACCAAGUGUCUAGAAAAGUCCAUGUGCCUUAAGGAUGAGGAUAAGGACGAAGCAAUAAUAGAGUCAUGAAGUAGAUAAGAGUGAAUUCAUUUGUCAUGUAGUAUUUAAGUGUCUUAAAUAAGUGGUACUAUAGAUGAAUAGUACUAUGCAUUAUUGUAAGUAGAAAAUAAUAUUCUAAUGUGUGUUUAGGGCUGUAAAUAAGUGCUUCUACGAUGGGAAGAGGCAAGGUGUAGAAAACAACCCUUUGUGUAAGUUUCUCUUUAGAAACAUAUGUUAAUCCUUUAGGAUUUAGCUUGGCACCUUUUGUGUGCAAUGUUGUAACAUAAACUUAUAUCAAUAAAACCAUGUUUCUACUUAUUCAAGAAUAA